UCGCCUCUUGACACACAUAAGAGGUCCAGCCUGCCCAGUGACUAAGUUCAACGGCCGCGGUAUCCUAACCGUGCGAAGGUAGCGUAAUCACUUGUUCUUUAAAUGAGGACUAGUAUGAAUGGCACCACGAGGGUUAUACUGUCUCCUUUUUUUAAUCAAUGAAACUGAUCUCCCCGUGAAGAAGCGGGGAUAAAUUUAUAAGACGAGAAGACCCUAUGGAGCUUUAAACAAUUAUAGCACUGGCCCCCACCUCUUAUUCUUCUGAGAUAUAAUUAUUAUACAGGCCAACAUGACUAUUAGUUUUAGGUUGGGGUGACCGCGGAGCAAAAAUUAACCUCCACGUUGAACGGAGCUACUCCUGAGCUAAAAACUACAACUUUAAGCACCAAUAAACUGACAUCAAUUGACCCAAUAUAUUGAACAACGAACCAA
RNAcentral lists this ribosomal RNA (432 nucleotides) under Dendropsophus cf. mathiassoni ABGD cluster 82. Its description in RNAcentral is "partial large subunit ribosomal RNA". It matches the Rfam family "Bacterial large subunit ribosomal RNA", at positions 1830 to 2460 of the family's 2925-position model. Lineage: Eukaryota; Metazoa; Chordata; Amphibia; Anura; Hylidae. The record is from RNAcentral.